GCCUGAGGUACUGGAAGGUCCUCAGGCCGAAAGGGGCUCUGCCCGCCCGAGGAUGGGCCGGCGGCCGAUUAGGUAGUUGGUGGGGUAACGGCCCACCAAGCCGAAGAUCGGUACGGGCCAUGAGAGUGGGAGCCCGGAGAUGGACACUGAGACACGGGUCCAGGCCCUACGGGGCGCAGCAGGCGCGAAACCUCCGCAAUGCGGGCAACCGCGACGGGGGGACCCCCAGUGCCGUGGCAACGCCACGGCUUUUCCGGAGUGUAAAAAGCUCCGGGAAUAAGGGCUGGGCAAGGCCGGUGGCAGCCGCCGCGGUAAUACCGGCGGCCCGAGUGGUGGCCGCUAUUAUUGGGCCUAAAGCGUCCGUAGCCGGGCCCGUAAGUCCCUGGCGAAAUCCCACGGCUCAACCGUGGGGCUUGCUGGGGAUACUGCGGGCCUUGGGACCGGGAGAGGCCGGGGGUACUCCUGGGGUAGGGGUGAAAUCCUAUAAUCCCAGGAGGACCGCCAGUGGCGAAGGCGCCCGGCUGGAACGGGUCCGACGGUGAGGGACGAAGGCCAGGGGAGCAAACCGGAUUAGAUACCCGGGUAGUCCUGGCUGUAAAGGAUGCGGGCUAGGUGUUGCUUGGACCUCGAGUCCAAGCAGUGCCGCAGGG
RNAcentral lists this ribosomal RNA (650 nucleotides) under uncultured archaeon. RNAcentral describes it as "bacterial SSU rRNA". It matches the Rfam family "Archaeal small subunit ribosomal RNA", at positions 160 to 808 of the family's 1478-position model. The record is from RNAcentral.